GAUGAACGCUGGCGGCGUGCCUAAUACAUGCAAGUAGAACGCUGAAGCUUGGUGCUUGCACCGAGCGGAUGAGUUGCGAACGGGUGAGUAACGCGUAGGUAACCUGCCUGGUAGCGGGGGAUAACUAUUGGAAACGAUAGCUAAUACCGCAUAACAGUAGAUAUUGCAUGAUAUCUGCUUGAAAGGUGCAAAUGCAUCACUACCAGAUGGACCUGCGUUGUAUUAGCUAGUUGGUGAGGUAACGGCUCACCAAGGCGACGAUACAUAGCCGACCUGAGAGGGUGAUCGGCCACACUGGGACGGAGACACGGCCCAGACUCCUACGGGAGGCAGCAGUAGGGAAUCUUCGGCAAUGGGGGGAACCCUGACCGAGCAACGCCGCGGGAGUGAAGAAGGUUUUCGGAUCGUAAAGCUCUGUUGUAAGAGAAGAACGAGUGUGAGAGUGGAAAGUUCACACUGUGACGGUAUCUUACCAGAAAGGGACGGCUAACUACGUG
RNAcentral lists this ribosomal RNA (497 nucleotides) under uncultured bacterium. Its description in RNAcentral is "partial 16S ribosomal RNA". It matches the Rfam family "Bacterial small subunit ribosomal RNA", at positions 28 to 507 of the family's 1533-position model. The record is from RNAcentral.